GCAUUGGUGGUUCAGUGGUAGAAUUCUCGCCUCCCACGAGGGAAACCCGGGUUCGAUUCCAGGCCCAUGCA
This 71-nucleotide transfer RNA is filed under the name Loxodonta africana (African savanna elephant). It matches the Rfam family "tRNA". From Rfam's summary of the family: Transfer RNA (tRNA) molecules are approximately 80 nucleotides in length. Their secondary structure includes four short double-helical elements and three loops (D, anti-codon, and T loops). The record is from Rfam by way of RNAcentral. Lineage: Eukaryota; Metazoa; Chordata; Mammalia; Proboscidea; Elephantidae.